AGCAGGUUUCUGCAAUGGGUGUUG
This 24-nucleotide non-coding RNA is filed under the name Arabidopsis thaliana (thale cress). The record is from RNAcentral. Lineage: Eukaryota; Viridiplantae; Streptophyta; Magnoliopsida; Brassicales; Brassicaceae.